UACAGAGGGUGCGAGCGUUAAUCGGAAUUACUGGGCGUAAAGCGCGCGUAGGCGGCUUUGCAAGUCGGGUGUGAAAUCCCCAGGCUUAACCUGGGAACUGCAUUCGAGACUGCAUUGCUAGAGUAUGGGAGAGGGAAGUGGAAUUUCCGGUGUAGCGGUGAAAUGCGUAGAUAUCGGAAGGAACAUCAGUGGCGGAAAGCGACUUCCUGGACCAAUACUGACGCUCAUGUGCGAAAGCGUGGGGAGCAAACAGG
This 254-nucleotide ribosomal RNA is filed under the name uncultured bacterium. RNAcentral's name for it is "partial 16S ribosomal RNA". It matches the Rfam family "Bacterial small subunit ribosomal RNA", at positions 524 to 776 of the family's 1533-position model. The record is from RNAcentral.